This 96-nucleotide microRNA precursor is filed under the name Marmota monax (woodchuck). Lineage: Eukaryota; Metazoa; Chordata; Mammalia; Rodentia; Sciuridae. The record is from RNAcentral.
AGUAUAGGUUGUACACUGCAUAAGCCCAGAGGACACCAUUCAAAUGGAAUAGAUGUGCAUGGUGCCCUUGGAGUUGUGCGAUGCAGCAGCCUUGUC